RNAcentral lists this ribosomal RNA (213 nucleotides) under Staphylococcus aureus. RNAcentral describes it as "partial 16S ribosomal RNA". It matches the Rfam family "Bacterial small subunit ribosomal RNA", at positions 1 to 207 of the family's 1533-position model. The record is from RNAcentral. Lineage: Bacteria; Bacillati; Bacillota; Bacilli; Caryophanales; Staphylococcaceae.
UUUAUGGAGAGUUUGAUCCUGGCUCAGGAUGAACGCUGGCGGCGUGCCUAAUACAUGCAAGUCGAGCGAACGGAUGAGAAGCUUGCUUCUCUGAUGUUAGCGGCGGACGGGUGAGUAACACGUGGAUAACCUACCUAUAAGACUGGGAUAACUUCGGGAAACCGGAGCUAAUACCGGAUAAUAUUUUGAACCGCAUGGUUCAAAAGUGAAAGA